This 78-nucleotide transfer RNA is filed under the name Paramuricea clavata. Its description in RNAcentral is "tRNA-Ser". The stretch from base 12 to 71 matches the Rfam family "tRNA", at positions 7 to 64 of the family's 71-position model. Rfam says of the family: Transfer RNA (tRNA) molecules are approximately 80 nucleotides in length. Their secondary structure includes four short double-helical elements and three loops (D, anti-codon, and T loops). The record is from RNAcentral. Lineage: Eukaryota; Metazoa; Cnidaria; Anthozoa; Malacalcyonacea; Plexauridae.
UCCUCUGGUAGGAAGCUCAGUUGGUUAGAGCGCUGCACCGGAAUCGCAGGGCCGUAGGUUCAUUUCCUACCAGAGGAC